This 254-nucleotide ribosomal RNA is filed under the name uncultured bacterium. Its description in RNAcentral is "partial 16S ribosomal RNA". It matches the Rfam family "Bacterial small subunit ribosomal RNA", at positions 524 to 776 of the family's 1533-position model. The record is from RNAcentral.
UACGGGGGGAGCAAGCGUUGUUCGGAUUUACUGGGCGUAAAGGGCGCGUAGGCGGCCACCGCAAGUCAGUUGUGAAAUCUCUGGGCUUAACCCAGAAAGGUCAACUGAUACUGCGGGGCUAGAGUGCAGAAGGGGCAACUGGAAUUCUCGGUGUAGCGGUGAAAUGCGUAGAUAUCAGGAGGAACACCAAUUGCUAAGGCAGCUCGCUGGAACGUAACUGACGCUGAGACGCGAAAGCGUGGGGAGCAAACAGG